AGAGCGUCUGCUUUGUAAGCAGAAGGUCGUCAGUUCAAUCCUGGCAAGUAGCU
RNAcentral lists this transfer RNA (53 nucleotides) under Perkinsus marinus ATCC 50983. It matches the Rfam family "tRNA", at positions 20 to 71 of the family's 71-position model. From Rfam's summary of the family: Transfer RNA (tRNA) molecules are approximately 80 nucleotides in length. Their secondary structure includes four short double-helical elements and three loops (D, anti-codon, and T loops). Further hydrogen bonds mediate the characteristic L-shaped molecular structure. tRNAs have two regions of fundamental functional importance: the anti-codon, which is responsible for specific mRNA codon recognition, and the 3' end, to which the tRNAs corresponding amino acid is attached (by aminoacyl-tRNA synthetases). tRNAs cope with the degeneracy of the genetic code in two manners: having more than one tRNA (with a specific anti-codon) for a particular amino acid; and 'wobble' base-pairing, i.e. permitting non-standard base-pairing at the 3rd anti-codon position. Lineage: Eukaryota; Perkinsozoa; Perkinsida; Perkinsidae. The record is from Rfam by way of RNAcentral.